GGAGAUGUGUCCGAGCUGGCUGAAGGAGCACGAUUGGAAAUCGUGUGAACGUGUGAGCGUUCCUAGGGUUCGAAUCCCUACAUCUCCGCCA
RNAcentral lists this transfer RNA (91 nucleotides) under Candidatus Cloacimonadota bacterium. RNAcentral's name for it is "tRNA-Ser". It matches the Rfam family "tRNA". Rfam says of the family: Transfer RNA (tRNA) molecules are approximately 80 nucleotides in length. RNAcentral also lists the same sequence under 1 other name. The record is from RNAcentral. Lineage: Bacteria; Pseudomonadati; Candidatus Cloacimonadota.